CCUACGGGUGGCAGCAGUGAGGAAUAUUGGUCAAUGGGCGGAAGUCUGAACCAGCCAAGUAGCGUGCAGGAUGGCUGCCCUACGGGUUGUAAACUUCUUUUAUAUGGGAAUAACAUGUCUUACGUGUGGGGUUUUGUAUGUACCAUAUGAAUAAGGAUCGGCUAACUCCGUGCCAGCAGCCGCGGUAAUACGGAGGGUCCGAGCGUUAUCCGGAUUUAUUGGGUUUAAAGGGAGCGUAGGUGGCUUGUUAAGUCAGUUGUGAAAGUUUGCGGCUCAACCGGAAAAUUGCAGUUGAAACUGGCAGUCUUGAGUACAGUAGAGGCAGGCGGAAUUCGUGGUGUAGCGGUGAAAUGCUUAGAUAUCACGAAGAACUCCGAUUGCGAAGGCAGUUCACUGGACUGGAACUGACACUGAGGCUCGAAAGUGUGGGUAUCAAACAGGAUUAGAUACCCUUGUAGUC
Molecule: ribosomal RNA, 460 nt
Filed under: uncultured bacterium
Lineage: Bacteria
Description: partial 16S ribosomal RNA
Rfam family: Bacterial small subunit ribosomal RNA
Source: RNAcentral